ACGAGACGCCUUAUUUCUUCUUCUCUGUCUCUUUCCGACGGCGUAACUCUCCGG
This 54-nucleotide small RNA is filed under the name Arabidopsis thaliana (thale cress). RNAcentral describes it as "ATSL179660". Lineage: Eukaryota; Viridiplantae; Streptophyta; Magnoliopsida; Brassicales; Brassicaceae. The record is from RNAcentral.